GGAGCUCACGCAUGUGGCCAGGCCCAGGUUUCUUUCUUUUUUCUUUUUAAGGCGAUAAAUGGAAACCAAUCCACUCUUUCUGUGGCUGGUUCCCACGAAGCUGGGAUUUCAAGCCUCUUGUUUAUUUUUAAAGCCAGUGGGGAGACCCAGCUGAAAGCCCGGCCUGGGAUUUUCACCAGCGCGGUCCCAGUGCACGUGGAAAGAAGAGAAAGGAGGGAGAGCUGGUGGCUUCGAGCCGCUUCCGUCGGGGCCUCGCGUUUCGCCCCCAUCGGAGCCCUCUCUUCUUUCUCUCCCCCGAAGGCGCUCCCUGAGGCCGGCCGGUGUCUCUGCGGUCGUGGCCAGUCUCUUCUAGGUCGUCACCGCUCUGCACCAAACAAAUGAGUCCUGUUUCGCCACUAGGGUGCCGAGGUGGAUGGUGGAUGCCGGCCCCCGCCCCUGGCAGCGUUCAGCGCUUAGAAACCAGAGCCAGCUGACAACACACGAAACACACAGGCACAGAGAAAACGCCGAGCCAACGCGCGCUCCCUCCGCCCCCUCCCUCUGUUCUCUGUACCCGUGGAGGACAUGAACGCAGCCUUUAUACAUUUUAAAGCCCCUGCGACUUCCUCUGAAUUCUUGGUUACUUACGACGGCCUUUCCUACUGCACAUAGCCCUUGGUGUGGUGUGUGUGUGUGUGUGAGCGCGCGCGCGCGCGCGCGCAAAUGUGCGUGUGUAUUUAAAACGCUUAUUGGUAGGUCAUCAGCAGCUGAUCAGACAUAGUAAUCCAAUAAUCUUUUUGAAUACAUACAAUUUUCUUUAAAGGUAAUUUUUUUUUUUAAGAAAAAAGGAAAUCUGUCGAUUUCCUGUGCAAGUCUUGGGGUCCCAGCUUGGGUUCCAGGCAACCACAGGGCUGCGCAGCCUCCGCCUCGCCAAACUUUCCCUUUCCAGGUUUGAGCGAGGCGCAAAUGUUCACUUCAUGACUGAGCGGGGGCUGCUUUGCAUGCGGGUGUGGGAGAGAGGGGAGCCGUGGGGACGCUCAGA
This 1021-nucleotide long non-coding RNA is filed under the name Bos grunniens (domestic yak). RNAcentral describes it as "lncRNA (ENSBGRG00000003527.1)". Lineage: Eukaryota; Metazoa; Chordata; Mammalia; Artiodactyla; Bovidae. The record is from RNAcentral.